Molecule: unclassified non-coding RNA, 101 nt
Organism: Cercocebus atys (sooty mangabey)
Lineage: Eukaryota; Metazoa; Chordata; Mammalia; Primates; Cercopithecidae
Rfam family: Y RNA
About the family: Y RNAs are components of the Ro ribonucleoprotein particle (Ro RNP), in association with Ro60 and La proteins. The Y RNAs and Ro60 and La proteins are well conserved, but the function of the Ro RNP is not known.
Source: Ensembl
GGCUGUUCUGAGUGCAGUGGUGUUUACAACUAAUUGAUUACAAUCAGUUAUAGAUGUCUUUGUUUCUUCUUACUCCCACUGUUUCACUUGACUAGCCUUUA